Molecule: long non-coding RNA, 7536 nt
Filed under: Lactuca sativa (garden lettuce)
Lineage: Eukaryota; Viridiplantae; Streptophyta; Magnoliopsida; Asterales; Asteraceae
Description: long non-coding RNA (LSAT_LNC003246)
Source: RNAcentral
ACAGACUCGGCGAGUAGCGUGAAGAUUGUCCAUAACCACUCAGCGAGUGGUCUUGCCGAGUUAAGGGGUUGACUCAGUGAGUCAGGGAGAGUCAGAGAGGGUUGACAGGUGGACUGAGUCAAGCUGGAACUCGCCGAGUUGUUCUUGAGACUCGGCGAGUUGAGUCGUGGUGGCCCCGCAACUCAUGCCAGGUGGAACUCGUCGAGUUAGGAAAAUACUCGACGUGUCGAGAGAGGAUCCCAGGGAAUCAGUGGAUGCGUAUAGACUCGCCGAGUCGCUAUAGUGCACUCGCCGAGUCCGGUCAAAGUUGACCGUUGACCAUUGACCAGUGUUGACUUGAUAGGGUUAGUCAACCUUAGUUGUGAAGUGUUAUUUAGAGAUAUAUUGUGUUAUAGGAGGACUAUAGAUCGGGGGAUCGAGCACGAGUGAUUUCAGGGAUUUGCGAGUUACUGAGAUACGCGAGGUGAGUCUUCUCACUAUACUUUACCUUGAGUAGGUAACCAGAGUUAUGUGAUAGAGUAUUUGUAUGCUAUGUAUGUUAUGUGUUGCACUGCAUUAUUUCUAUGUGAUCUAUGCUAUGCAUGUUAUCAGAGUUAGAACCUGAGGGUUCACAGAGCUUGGGUGCACGGACCCACAGAAUUAUAGCCUCGAGUGGCUAAUAUGCGUUAUGUAUGGUAUAUUGGGAAACUCACUAAGCUUUGUGCUUACAGUGUUUGGUGUUAUUUGUUUCAGGUACUAGUGAUGACCGUGGGAAGGCGCCGGCUUGAUCAGUACACACACACGGGAUUUUUAUGUUAUGAGAUCUUGGGAUUUUUAUAUGGCAUGGAUUGAAUUUCAAACAUUGAUGUUUUUAUGAAUAUUAAAUGAAUUAUGUUUUUAUAAAAUGCGAAAAAUUGUUUUGAAAUUUACGGUGUUACAAGUUGGUAUCAGAGCCUUGGUUUGAGGGAUUCGAGUACACCUUCGGGCGUAUUUGAACUCAAACUGAGGAUUUGAGAAGUAUUUUCAAAAAGAGUAAAAGAUUUUUGGAAAAACGCAGAGCAGAGUUGUGUGUACGAUCAGUCCGCGCCCGAACGGUGAUUUCCCAAAAUACCCUCAUGUUAUGUGAUAUUGAUAUUGAUAUGAUGUAUUCUCAUGCUAGAGUAGGCUAGGUACUCCUAUUAGGACUAGAGUGGCCUGAUUUGUGAUGCCUUAGCCUAGGGAGAGGUGAGCUGCUAUGAGAUGCUUGAGAGUGAGUAGGUAGCAGCGAGGGGCUUAUGAGAGAUCUGUUAGAGAGUGGAUUAUGCAUGAUAGAGUACUUGGAAUUUGGGAUCCGAAGAGGAGGACUUGGGGUGUAUUCUGAUACGGUGCGGACAGUAGUAUUGGGCCCGUACUACUGAAAGCACCGGGGCGGUGUACAGCCCAAGUAAGAAUCUUUGGAAUACCAAGGAUCAAGGAGGAAUGAGUUGUCGAGUGUGAGUAUGCUCGAAUGGAUUCUAAUUUAUCGUAUGUUGUAUUUCAGAGGUAGAUCAUGGUGAGGACACGUCUUAUGCCUGAGAGUAGUGGGGCCAGUGAUGAGGAGAUCCGCCGGAUUAUCCAUGAGGAGGUGGCUGCGGCCAUCAGGGCAGAGAUAAUAAGGAUGUUCGGGUCUAUUAAGACCACGUUGAUUGAGAACUUGGACGAGCGUUAUGCCGCUCUUUCUGAGGCUGCUGUUGCAGCAACCACUGCAGCUAUUGCUGUCGCGAGGCCGCAGGGUGGUGAUGCGUUGUUGUUCCGAGAGUUCAGCAACACAAAGCCGCCGGAGUUUGAUGGGACCUAGGACCCGGUGGCGGCUAUGAGAUGGAUUUCUGACAUAGAGGGGUGUUUCUUCACUUGCUCAUCUCCUGAGCAUUUGAGAGUUCGGUUCGCGCUGAACCAGCUUCGCUUGGGAGCGAAGGACUGGUGGAAGUUUGUGACGGCGCACUUUACGCCUGCUGAGCUUGCGGCAGUGACCUGGGAGAGGUUCACUGCCAUGUUCCGAGAUGAGUACGUUCCCCAGGUGGAGAGGGAGCGUUUGGCCCAGGAGUUUCUGACCCUCAAGCAGGGUACUGAGUCUGUUACGGUGAUUACCAGGAUGUUCCAUGAGAGGGCGAUGUUCUGCCCUGAGCACGUGUCCACUGAGCAGGCACGUAUGAGCCGAUAUUUGAGUAUUUUGAGGCGAGACAUUCGGGAGUUCGUGGCGAACUCCUCGUACCGGACAUUUGCCGAGCUUCAGGCAAAUGCCCGGAAGAGGGAGAUUGAGCUAGAGACUCAGGCCAGGGAGGAGGCGGAGUCUCAGGGGAGGGAUCGGCGACCGGCACAGUCUCAGCCGGCAGCCAAGCGGGCCAAGCCCGCUGAUCCCAAACCAGGGAGCCAGAAGGGCCGCACUUGUGGGAAGUGUGGCAAGGGUCAUGAUGGAGUCUGUAGAGCGGGAUCUUGCUACAAGUGUGGCAAGGAGGGGCACAUGGCCAAGGACUGCCCCAAGGGGUUUGCGGUGUGUUUCCACUGCAACCAGACCGGACACCGGAAGGCAGAGUGUCCGCAAUUGCGAGGAUCAUCUCAGGGAGCACCUCAGGGAUCUGCCCCUGCCGCCAUCAGAGCUACCGAGAGUCGGCCAGUGAAGGCCGAGGCGCCGAGGGCACGAGGGAGAGCCUUUCAGUUGACCGCGGAGGAGGUCCGCGCAGCGCCCGAUGUCGUGGCUGGUAUGUAUUCUUUCGUGUAUUUAUUUUGAUGUUGAGAUAUUAUGCUUAUAUUAUGUUAUGCGUAGGUACUUUUCUUGUGAAUUCUGUACCUGCCUUGGUGUUAUUUGACUCGGGUGCGAGUCGGUCUUUUGUAUCUUUGGCUUUUAGUCAGCAUAUCAGUGUUAGUCGUGAGGCGUUGAGUCGGCCUCUGAGAGUUUCCAUAGCUGACGAGAGGGUGAUAUAUGCCACGGAGGUUCUCCGAGGGUGCGUAGUCGAGAUUUUCGGUGUUGAGUUCCCGAUUGAUCUGGUUCCUAUUGCGAUGGGUGAUGUCUGUGUCAUUGUGGGCAUGGACUGGUUGAGCAGAUUCGGUGCGGUUAUCGACUGCGAGCGACAGCUGGUGACCAUACGAGACCCUAGUGGGGGAGUUCUUAUGGUGUACGGCGAGGGUACACGUUCUGGAUCAGCAUUUUGUUCGGCCGCUAGGGUGAGGCAGUGUCUGUAGCAGGGCUGUAAGGGUUUUGUGGCGUAUGUGAUGGAUACGCAGGUGGAUUCCGAGAGACCGAGGUCAGUUGAAGAGGUUCCGAUAGUGCGUGAGUUCCCGGAUGUAUUUCCAGAGGAGUUGCCGGGUGUGCCUCCCGUGAGACAAGUAGAGUUCAGUAUCGAUUUGGUUCCGGGGCUACGCCUAUCGCUAAGGUGCCUUAUCGUCUUGCACCUCCAGAGAUGCAAGAGUUAUCCUUGCAGCUUCAGGAGCUGCUGGGGAAGGGGUUUAUUCGGCCGAGCAGCUCGCCGUGGGGAGCGCCUAUCCUGUUCGUCAAGAAGAAGGAUGGUUCACACCGGAUGUGCAUUGAUUACCGGGAGUUGAACAAGCUGACGGUCAAGAACCGUUACCCGUUGCCGAGGAUCGACGAUUUGUUCGAUCAGUUACAGGGAGCAUCUUGGUUCUCCAAGAUCGAUUUGAGGUCUGGAUAUCAUCAGGUGAGGGUGCGAGAUGAGGACAUCCAGAAGACAGCGUUCAGGACGCGUUAUGGGCAUUACGAGUUUGUGGUGAUGCCUUUCGGGCUCACCAAUGCCCCGGCAGUGUUCAUGGAUCUCAUGAACCGAGUGUGCAGGCCGAUGUUGGAUCGGUCGGUGAUUGUAUUCAUCGACGACAUUUUGGUAUAUUCGAGAUCUAGAGAGCAGCAUGAGGAGCAUUUGAGGGAGAUCCUCGGAGUUCUGAGAUCGGAGAGGCUUUAUGCCAAAUUCUCCAAGUGUGAUUUCUGGUUGCGAGAGGUCCAGUUCCUGGGUCAUCUCGUUAACCAGAAAGGGAUAUUGGUCGACCCGGCCAAAGUUGAGGCGGUGAUGAGUUGGGAGGUGCCGAGGUCACCCUCCGAGAUCAGGAGUUUCCUAGGGUUGGCAGGUUAUUAUCGGAGAUUUAUCAAGGAUUUCUCUAAGAUCGCAGUGCCACUCACCAGGUUGACCCGGAAGGGUGUCGCUUUUUCAUGGGGCCCCGAGCAGCAGGCCUCCUUUGAGACGCUUCGCCAAAGGUUAUGCGAAGCCCCGGUGUUAGCCCUCCCGGAGGGGAUGGAGGACUUUGUGGUAUACUGUGAUGCGUCGAUCUUGGGGUUGGGAGCGGUGCUGAUGCAGAGAGGGCAUGUGAUAGCAUACGCAUCGAGGCAACUGAAACAUCAUGAGACGAGGUAUCCCACCCAUGACCUAGAGUUGGGGGCAGUGGUGUUCGCCCUCACGAUUUGGCGUCACUACCUAUAUGGGGUUCAGUAUACGAUAUACACGGACCAUAAGAGCCUGAAGUAUUUGAUGGAUCAGCCCAACCUAAACAUGCGGCAGAGGAGGUGGUUGGAUGUAGUCAAGGAUUAUGAUUCUGAGAUUAUGUACCAUCCGGGCAAGGCUAAUGUGGUAGCCGACGCCCUGAGUCGUAGGGCGGAGAGUGCCCCAUUGCGAGAUGUAUGUUUGCGAUUGACCGUGAUGGCUCCGGUGUUGGACACCAUUCGUGGAGCACAGGCUGAGGCCGUGAGAUCGGAGAACCAGAAGAGAGAGCGAGUUGUUGGGUUGGUAUCGGAGUUCGUUACCGAUGGUCGGGGGCUUAUGACAUUUCAGGGGCGUAUAUGGGUACCGUUUGUGGGAGGGACGCGUACCAUUUUGAUGGAAGAGGCUCAUCGGUCGAAAUUCUCGAUCCAUCCUGGGGCCACUAAGAUGUAUUUAGACCUGAGGAGAGAGUAUUGGUGGCCCUGUAUGAAGAGGGAUGUUGCGUGGUUUGUUGAGAGGUGCUUAACCUGCCGUAGGGUUAAGGCCGAGCACCAGAGACCGCAUGGUAAGUUGCAGCCGUUGGAGGUUCCCGAAUGGAAGUGGGAACAGAUCACCAUGGAUUUUAUCACCAAAUUGCCAAGGACUGCCAGGGGAGUUGUUGCAAUUUUGGUGAUUGUGGACAGGUUUACGAAGAGUGCUCACUUUCUUGCUAUCAGCAAGAGUUCUUCAGCAGAGAAAUUAGCAGAGGUGUAUGUGAGGGAAGUGGUGUCACGACAUGGGGUGCCGAUCUCGAUUGUUUCAGACCGUGAUGUGCGUUUCACUUCCAGAUUCUGGAAGAAGUUUCAUGAGGAGUUGGGUACUAGGCUGCAUUUUAGUACCGCAUAUCACCCCCAGACAGACGGACAGAGUGAGCGGACGAUUCAGACGCUCGAGGACAUGCUCCGGGCCUGUGUGUUGGAUUUCGGGGGAAGUUGGGAUACGUACUUUCCCUUGGCAGAGUUUUCCUACAACAACAACCAUCAUUCGAGCAUUGGUAUACCGUCCUUUGAGCUGUUGUAUGGGAGGAGGUGCCAGACCCCCAUUUGCUGGGGAGAGGUCGGACAGCGUGUGAUGGGCAGUACAGAGAUCGUGCUUCAGACGACAGAGCAGAUCCAGCAGGUCAGACAGAGGUUGUUGACCUCUCAGAGUCGUCAGAAGAGUUAUGCGGACAGACGCCGGUCCGAGCUUGAGUUUCAGGUCGGCGACCUUGUGCUCCUGAAGGUCUCUCCUUGGAAAGGAGUGAUUCGAUUCAGGAAGAGGGGCAAGUUGGGGCCCAGAUAUAUUGGUCCAUUCCGAGUGAUCGCGAGGGUAGGCAGGGUAGCCUAUCGUUUGGAUUUGCCAGCAGAGUUGGGGCAGAUUCACGGCACUUUCCAUGUGUCGCAACUGCGGAAGUGUAUAGCGGAUGAGUCGGCAGUGGUUCCAUUAGAGGAUAUUCAGGUGGAUGCGAGCCUGAAUUAUGCUGAGAGACCAGUGGCAAUCAGAGAUCGGAAAAUCAAGGUUCUGAGGAACAAGGAGGUACCCUUGGUUUUGGUUCAGUGGCAGCAUCGGAAGGGGUCCGAGAUGACUUGGGAGCCGGAGCAUGAGAUGCGUGAGCAGCAUCCGGAGUUAUUUGCAGAGCGAGACUUCGAGGGCGAAGUCUAGUUCUAGUGGGGGAGAAUUGUAACAGCCCGGAUUCCCAGGUAUUAAUUAUUCUUAUAAUUUUGGUGAUUUGUGAGGAGACUCGGUGAGUUGGAGCUCAAACUCGCCGAGUAUGAUCGCGGCUUGGGCACGGGUUCGCGUCUGGACUCGGCAAGUCCAAAAUGUGGACUCGGCGAGUCCACGCUGUUUAAUGAAACCCUAAUUUCCAAGGUAUGAGACCUAUUUAAAGGGGCUUAUGACGUCAUUUGCGGCCACCAACCCCAGAGAGAACCCUAAAGAGUCUUUGAGCGUGUUGUGAGAGAGAGAAGAGGAAGAUCCUUGACUAAUUGUGGGUGUUUUUGAAUAUAGAAGAGGAUCAAGGCAAGAGGAGACCAAAGAAGGUGCUAAUCCAGUUAUUCUUGAUCUCAGAGACUUCAUUUGAGGUAACCAUUCGUUCCUUUCUCAGUCCUUGGUGUAAAUCUUAGAGUUAGGGUUUCUUUGUGGAAUGAUCCAUGGAGUAAUUGGCCUCCUCACGUGUUGGUGCUUUAGAUCUGGGCCCAAAGAGGUCCAGAGACCCUUUUCCCUCAAGCUUUAUGAGUGUUAAUGGAGGCCAUGAGCUUAGAAUAGCAUUCUAGAGACCAUAUCAUCAAAUAAGGCCUUUGAACCUUUGCAUGAGCACCAAGAUAGUAACUUUACGUGAUGUAUGUGCUUGGAAGGACUGGAUCUAUGAGUUAUUGGAACGGAUCUGACCUCAGGAGUGAGUUUGAGUUUAUGCAUGGCAUAGACUCGCAAGUCUGAAGAACAGACUCGGCGAGUAGCAUGAAGAUUGUCCAUAACCACUCAGCGAGUGGUCUUGCCGAGUUAAGGGGUUGACUCAGUGAGUCAGGGAGAGUCAGAGAGGGUUGACGGGUGGACUGAGUCAAGCUGGAACUCGCCGAGUUGUUCUUGAGACUCGGCGAGUUGAGUCGUGGUGGCCCCGCAACUCAUGCCAGGUGGAACUCGUCGAGUUAGGAAAAUACUCGACGUGUCGAGAGAGGAUCCCAGGGAAUCAGUGGAUGCGUAUAGACUCGCCGAGUCGCUAUAGUGCACUCGCCGAGUCCGGUCAAAGUUGACCGUUGACCAUUGACCAGUGUUGACUUGAUAGGGGUAGUCAACCUUAGUUGUGAAAGUGUUAAUUAGAGAUGUAUUGUGUUAUAGGAGGAUUAUAGCUCGGGGGAUCGAGCGCGAGUGAUUUCCGGGAUUUACAAGUUAUCGAGAUACGCGAGGUGAGUCUUCUCACUAUACUUUACCUUGAGUAGGUAAUCAGAGUUAUGUGACAGAGUAUUUGUAUGCUAUAUGUAUGUUAUGUGUUGUACUGCAUUAUUUCUAUGUGAUUUAUGCUGUGCAUGUUUAUAGAGUUGGAACCGGAAGGUUCACAGAGAUUAGAACCAGAGGGUUCACAGAGUAGGGUCUACGGACCCAC